AGGAAUUGGCGGGGGAGCACCACAAGGGGUGAAGCCUGCGGUUCAAUUGGAGUCAACGCCGGGAAUCUUACCGGGGGCGACAGCAGAAUGAAGGUCAAGCUGAAGACUUUACCAGACAAGCUGAGAGGAGGUGCAUGGCCGUCGCCAGCUCGUGCCGUGAGGUGUCCUGUUAAGUCAGGUAACGAGCGAGAUCCCUGCCUCUAGUUGCUACCAGAACUCUCAGGAGUAUUGGGGCUAAUUAGAGGGACUGCCGUCGCUGAGACGGAGGAAGGAGGGGGCUACGGCAGGUCAGUAUGCCCCGAAACCCUCGGGCCACACGCGGGCUGCAAUGGUAAGGACAAUAAGUUCCAAUUCCGAAAGGAGAAGGCAAUCUUCAAACCUUACCUCAGUUAUGAUUGAGGGCUGAAACUCGUCCUCAUGAAUAUGGAAUCCCUAGUAACCGCGUGUCACUAUCGCGCGGUGAAUACGUCCCUGCUCCUUGCACACACCGCCCGUC
This 496-nucleotide ribosomal RNA is filed under the name uncultured crenarchaeote. RNAcentral describes it as "bacterial SSU rRNA". It matches the Rfam family "Archaeal small subunit ribosomal RNA", at positions 860 to 1354 of the family's 1478-position model. The record is from RNAcentral. Lineage: Archaea; Thermoproteati; Thermoproteota.